This is a long non-coding RNA of Nematostella vectensis (starlet sea anemone), 353 nucleotides long. RefSeq lists it as uncharacterized. The record is from RefSeq and is a predicted model, not a curated record. Lineage: Eukaryota; Metazoa; Cnidaria; Anthozoa; Actiniaria; Edwardsiidae. The transcript has 3 exons.
UUUGGCUCUUCUCUCGUUAAAAUGGAUGAUGUGAUAGAGAUCAAGUCAAGUGAAUGCUCAAGCUCAGACUCAAGCUCAGACUUGGACUCAAGCUCAGACAUUGUUAAACUUGUAAAAGAAAAACAUCAGCUUGCGAUUUCAGCUCGCACUAAACUACCACGCAUGAAUUAUUCAUAAUUCUUAGAAACAGAGUCGGAGAUUUCACUUACAAUCCAUUUUAACGAGAGAAGAGCCAAAGAGACGCACGUGAGGUUGCUACAUCGCUGUGCCCUACCGCUGAUCACUCGUUCCCAGAUCCCUGUUCCCCGCUCCCCGUUUUAGUAACAUCCAUGUUGAAUUUUCCAUCAUCAUCA